ACAUGGCAUGAUCCUGCACGUGGAACAGUUAGUGGUGGCAUGAUAAGGGAUCUUCUUAUAUCCUUCAGAAAGGCCACAGGCCAAAAGCCACAAAGGAUAAUCUUUUAUCGGGAUGGAGUGAGUGAAGGUCAAUUUUACCAAGUACUGCUUUUCGAGUUAGAUGCAAUUAGGAAGGCUUGUGCGUCUUUAGAACCAAAUUAUCAACCGCCAGUAACUUUUAUCGUGGUACAGAAACGACA
RNAcentral lists this unclassified non-coding RNA (239 nucleotides) under Hevea brasiliensis (rubber tree). The record is from RNAcentral. Lineage: Eukaryota; Viridiplantae; Streptophyta; Magnoliopsida; Malpighiales; Euphorbiaceae.